CAGAACAAAAAUGAUAAUGAGAAAAAAAAUAAUCAUAAUCUCUGUAAAAAAAAAAGAGUUUAGAAGAGUGGCCAAAAGAGAGGUCAGUUUCGAGAGGAGAGAUCAGUUUCGAGAGGAGAGGUCAGUUUUGAGAGGAGAGGUCAGAGAGGAGAGGUCAGUUUUGAGAGGAGAGAUCAGUUUCAAGAGGAGAGGUCAGUUUUGAGAGGAGAGGUCAGAGAGGAGAGGUCAGUUUCAAGAGGAGAGGUCAGUUUCAAGAGGAGAGGUCAGUUUUGAGAGGAGAGGUCAGAGAGGAGAGGUCAGUUUUGAGAGGAGAGGUCAGAGAGGAGAGGUCAGUUUCAAGAGGAGAGAUCAGUUUUGAGAGGAGAGGUCAGAGAGGAGAGGUCAGUUUCAAGAGGAGAGGUCAGUUUCAAGAGGAGAGGUCAGUUUUGAGAGGAGAGGUCAGUUUUGAGAGGAGAGGUCAGUUUUGAGAGGAGAGGUCAGAGAGGAGAGGUCAGAGAGGAGAGGUCAG
Eriocheir sinensis (Chinese mitten crab) is the source of this 508-nucleotide long non-coding RNA. RefSeq lists it as uncharacterized. The transcript has 3 exons. The record is from RefSeq and is a predicted model, not a curated record. NCBI's taxonomy places the organism in Eukaryota, Metazoa, Arthropoda, Malacostraca, Decapoda, Varunidae.